RNAcentral lists this transfer RNA (59 nucleotides) under Caldisalinibacter kiritimatiensis. It matches the Rfam family "tRNA", at positions 1 to 58 of the family's 71-position model. From Rfam's summary of the family: Transfer RNA (tRNA) molecules are approximately 80 nucleotides in length. Their secondary structure includes four short double-helical elements and three loops (D, anti-codon, and T loops). Further hydrogen bonds mediate the characteristic L-shaped molecular structure. tRNAs have two regions of fundamental functional importance: the anti-codon, which is responsible for specific mRNA codon recognition, and the 3' end, to which the tRNAs corresponding amino acid is attached (by aminoacyl-tRNA synthetases). tRNAs cope with the degeneracy of the genetic code in two manners: having more than one tRNA (with a specific anti-codon) for a particular amino acid; and 'wobble' base-pairing, i.e. permitting non-standard base-pairing at the 3rd anti-codon position. The record is from Rfam by way of RNAcentral. Lineage: Bacteria; Bacillati; Bacillota; Tissierellia; Tissierellales; Thermohalobacteraceae.
GCGGAAGUGGCUCAGUGGUAGAGCAUCGCCUUGCCAAGGCGAGGGUCGCGGGUUCGAAU